This 440-nucleotide ribosomal RNA is filed under the name uncultured bacterium. RNAcentral's name for it is "partial 16S ribosomal RNA". It matches the Rfam family "Bacterial small subunit ribosomal RNA", at positions 339 to 795 of the family's 1533-position model. The record is from RNAcentral.
CUACGGGGUGCAGCAGUGGGGAAUAUUGCACAAUGGGCGAAAGCCUGAUGCAGCAACGCCGCGUGAGUGAUGAAGGUCUUCGGAUUGUAAAGCUCUGUUCUUGGGGAAGAAUAAAUGACGGUACCCAAGGAGAAAGCCCCGGCUAACUACGUGCCAGCAGCCGCGGUAAUACGUAGGGGGCAAGCGUUAUCCGGAAUCACUGGGCGUAAAGGGUGCGUAGGCGGCUUAGCAAGUCAGAAGUGAAAGGCAUUGGCUCAACCAAUGUAAGCUUUUGAAACUGUUAGGCUUGAGUGCAGGAGAGGAAAGUGGAAUUCCUAGUGUAGCGGUGAAAUGCGUAGAUAUUAGGAGGAACACCAGUGGCGAAGGCGACUUUCUGGACUGUAACUGACGCUGAGGCACGAAAGCGUGGGGAGCGAACAGGAUUAGAUACCCGGGUAGUC